UACGGGGGAAGCAAGCGUUGUUCGGAUUUACUGGGCGUAAAGGGCGCGUAGGCGGCGCAACAAGUCACUUGUGAAAUCUCCGGGCUUAACCCGGAGCGGCCAAGUGAUACUGUCGUGCUAGAGUGCGGAAGGGGCUACUGGAAUUCUCGGUGUAGCGGUGAAAUGCGUAGAUAUCGAGAGGAACACCUGCGGCGAAGGCGGGUAGCUGGGCCGACACUGACGCUGAUGCGCGAAAGCCAGGGGAGCGAACGGG
Molecule: ribosomal RNA, 253 nt
Filed under: uncultured bacterium
Lineage: Bacteria
Description: partial 16S ribosomal RNA
Rfam family: Bacterial small subunit ribosomal RNA
Source: RNAcentral